GAAAUCAGGUGAUCUGAAUUCCAGUCACAGCACAACGAGCUGUCUGAGCUUCAGUGAGCUGCUGAACUUGCCAAUUCUCCCUUUUCUUAUCCAGUUUAUGUUGAGAGAUCCUCACAGGGCUGAAAUAGUGUGUAUGAACAUACUUUGAAUCAUGUAAGAUUUCACAUAAGUAGCAGGUAGCCUCAAGAACGUUUCCCCUGCUGCUGCCUUAGAUGUAUGAGAACUUUGUGGAGGAGGUGGAUGCCGUGGACAAUGGGAUCUCCCAGUGGGCAGAGGGGGAGCCUCGAUAUGCACUGACCACUACCCUGAGUGCACGAGUUGCUCGACUUAAUCCUACCUGGAACCACCCCGACCAAGACACUGAGGCAGGGUUCAAGCGUGCAAUGGAUCUGGUUCAAGAGGAGUUUCUGCAGAGAUUAGAUUUCUACCAACACAGCUGGCUGCCAGCCCGGGCCUUGGUGGAAGAGGCCCUUGCCCAGCGAUUCCAGGUGGACCCAAGUGGGGAGAUUGUGGAACUGGCAAAAGGUGGAUGUCCCUGGAAGGAGCAUCUCUACCACCUGGAAUCUGGGCUGUCCCCUCCAGUGGCCAUCUUCUUUGUUAUCUACACUGACCAGGCUGGACAGUGGCGAGUACAGUGUGUGCCCAAGGAGCCCCACUCAUUCCAAAGCCGGCUGCCCCUGCCUGAGCCAUGGCGGGGUCUUCGGGACGAGGCCCUGGACCAGGUCAGUGGGAUCCCUGGCUGCAUCUUCGUCCAUGCAAGCGGCUUCAUUGGCGGUCACCGCACCCGAGAGGGUGCCUUGAGCAUGGCCCAUG
Molecule: small RNA, 813 nt
Filed under: Pongo abelii (Sumatran orangutan)
Lineage: Eukaryota; Metazoa; Chordata; Mammalia; Primates; Hominidae
Description: retained intron
Source: RNAcentral